Molecule: ribosomal RNA, 468 nt
Filed under: uncultured bacterium
Lineage: Bacteria
Description: partial 16S ribosomal RNA
Rfam family: Bacterial small subunit ribosomal RNA
Source: RNAcentral
GACGAACGCUGGCGGCGUGCUUAACACAUGCAAGUCGAACGGAAAGGCCCUGCUUUUGUGGGGUGCUCGAGUGGCGAACGCGUGAGUAACACGUGAGUAACCUGCCCUUGACUUUGUGAUAACUUCAGGAAACUGGGGCUAAUACCGGAUAGGAGCUCCUGCUGCAUGGUGGGGGUUGGAAAGUUUCGGCGGUUGGGGAUGGACUCGCGGCUUAUCCGCUUGUUGGUGGGGUAGUGGCUUACCAAGGCUUUGACGGGUAGCCGGCCUGAGAGGGUGACCGGCGACAUUGGGACUGAGAUACGGCGCAGACUGCUACGGGACGCAGCAGUGGGGAAUAUUGCACAAUGGGCGGAAGCCUGAUGCAGCAACGCCGCGUGCGGGAUGACGGCCUUCGGGUUGUAAACCGCUUUCGCCUGUGACGAAGCGUGAGUGACGGUAAUGGGUAAAGAAGCACCGGCUAACUACGUG